This 1431-nucleotide long non-coding RNA is filed under the name Olea europaea subsp. europaea. The record is from RNAcentral. Lineage: Eukaryota; Viridiplantae; Streptophyta; Magnoliopsida; Lamiales; Oleaceae.
UGUACUUCAAGGUAUGUGGACUGUGGUCAUUUAAUGUGCGUGUUAUUUACACACGAUUAGAUCCGUCUCUUUGAAAUAUUUUUAGGUACCUCUUUUUAUAUCCAAUGGCUUUUUCACUCGAAGAUUAAGAUCAAACUUGACAUGAUCCAAUGCCUAGUAUCUUUCAUCAUAAACAUAAAUAUAACACCUCUAUUAUUUGUUACAAUUAUUUAUUCUUUCAAAGCUUCUAUCUUCAUUCUUUAUUCGCAAAUAUUAUGUAGUGGACAAUAUAGUGUUGCUCGCAAUUUUUCUUUGCUCAUUAAAAAUCCUUCGAAUCAUUUCUUAUGUAUGUAUUUUGUGUACUGUUGCUUCUUUUCUUGUGCUGUUCUUUUUUUAUUCAUUGUUUAUUGUAACCCGAUAAACUUUUAUCUAAAUAUUUUUAGGAAAUUGAUCCUGCAAAAUGCCUUCCCAAAAUAGAUCCAUAAGCUUCGAACUACACGAUCUAGAUUUAGGGAUGAUGGAGUUGAUUCGUCAAUGUCAUCCUUUGAAAAUGUAUUAUACUCUGAUGUCAUUCCUCGAUUGGCGAUCACAAGAAUUGGUGCAUGUGUAAAAUUGUGAACCUUUAGGCAAGGAGAAGGAUUACACCUUAGGAGCGAGCCAACGAGCCUUUAGAUUAAGCAAAGGAUACUAGUUGAAGGGGAGAAGAAGAUAUUGUUAAUGAAGAUUUGAAGAUAUUUUCUAAUAUUACUGAGAAAAGGACUCGGCCGAGAUUAGAAAAAAUUCAAUAUUCCUGAAGAUAUCGAGCUAGUAUGUCCGAAACAACUUUAGAAUGUAGAUCAUCCACAUUGCGAUUGUAUUUCUAUUCACAAGAAUUCGAUAGAUAUAGGACUUUGAAUUCUUUUUCAUCAUGUCUUCCCUAAGGUUCUUAGCUCUUUUAAACUUGCUCCCACCCUAUUUACUCUUAAUGGGUGGCUCAUAUGGUUGACUCUUUCCUUUUGUGGACCAUUACAGGGUUAGUAGUAGAAUUAUUCUCUAAUAUUUUAGGGUCGAACUAUCACCCAAUAAAUGCCAAUAACAAAGCUAAUCCUAAAAAUGGCUUUUAUUAUCUUUCUCCUUGCUUGCCAAAUCCCGCCCCAAACUUGUAAUUACUCCAAAUAAGGUGCAUAACUAGAAAAAAUUUCCCUCUUCAUUCGAGUAGCAACAUGCCUUGUUUUUUCAAUGAAUACUGUGAGUAUUGUGAAUUUAACAUUUGCACUUGUUUGAGUUUCUUUUGAUUUUUAUUAACAUUUCUCCUUCUACGAAAGGAAAAAAGUCUGCUAGGGGUUCGAGCACUUUUGACCUUUAAACUUUUGUUACUCUAUUUCUUAAUUUGAAUUCAAAACUUCGCGAAGCAGAGAGAGUGCUUCCUCCUUCUAAUUCAAACUUUUACAACAAUAGGAUAGAAACCACGGU